CCUACGGGCGGCAGCAGUGGGGAAUAUUGGACAAUGGGGGGAACCCUGAUCCAGCCAUGCCGCGUGUGUGAAGAAGGCCCUCGGGUUGUAAAGCACUUUCAGUGAGGAAGAACGCCUGGUGGUUAAUACCCAUCAGGAAAGACAUCACUCACAGAAGAAGCACCGGCUAACUCCGUGCCAGCAGCCGCGGUAAUACGGAGGGUGCGAGCGUUAAUCGGAAUUACUGGGCGUAAAGCGCGCGUAGGUGGCUUGAUAAGCCGGUUGUGAAAGCCCCGGGCUCAACCUGGGAACGGCAUCCGGAACUGUCAAGCUAGAGUGCAGGAGAAGAAGGUAGAAUUCCCGGUGUAGCGGUGAAAUGCGUAGAGAUCGGGAGGAAUACCAGUGGCGAAGGCGGCCUUCUGGACUGACACUGACACUGAGGUGCGAAAGCGUGGGUAGCAAACAGGAUUAGAUACCCGAGUAGUC
This 465-nucleotide ribosomal RNA is filed under the name Vreelandella stevensii. RNAcentral's name for it is "partial 16S ribosomal RNA". It matches the Rfam family "Bacterial small subunit ribosomal RNA", at positions 338 to 795 of the family's 1533-position model. The record is from RNAcentral. Lineage: Bacteria; Pseudomonadati; Pseudomonadota; Gammaproteobacteria; Oceanospirillales; Halomonadaceae.